GGGGAUAUAGCUCAGUUGGUAGAGUGCUUGCCCUGCAAGCACAAGGCCCUGGGUUCAAUCCCCAGUACCACAA
This 73-nucleotide transfer RNA is filed under the name Ictidomys tridecemlineatus (thirteen-lined ground squirrel). Its description in RNAcentral is "Spermophilus tridecemlineatus (thirteen-lined ground squirrel) tRNA". It matches the Rfam family "tRNA". Rfam says of the family: Transfer RNA (tRNA) molecules are approximately 80 nucleotides in length. Lineage: Eukaryota; Metazoa; Chordata; Mammalia; Rodentia; Sciuridae. The record is from Rfam by way of RNAcentral.